GGGCGAGUAGCUCAGCGGCUAGAGCAUCCGCCUUACACGCGGAGGGUCCAGGGUUCGAAUCCCUGCUUGCCCA
This 73-nucleotide transfer RNA is filed under the name Phycisphaerae bacterium. Its description in RNAcentral is "tRNA-Val". It matches the Rfam family "tRNA". Rfam says of the family: Transfer RNA (tRNA) molecules are approximately 80 nucleotides in length. Their secondary structure includes four short double-helical elements and three loops (D, anti-codon, and T loops). Further hydrogen bonds mediate the characteristic L-shaped molecular structure. tRNAs have two regions of fundamental functional importance: the anti-codon, which is responsible for specific mRNA codon recognition, and the 3' end, to which the tRNAs corresponding amino acid is attached (by aminoacyl-tRNA synthetases). tRNAs cope with the degeneracy of the genetic code in two manners: having more than one tRNA (with a specific anti-codon) for a particular amino acid; and 'wobble' base-pairing, i.e. permitting non-standard base-pairing at the 3rd anti-codon position. RNAcentral also lists the same sequence under 2 other names. The record is from RNAcentral. Lineage: Bacteria; Pseudomonadati; Planctomycetota; Phycisphaerae.